This 388-nucleotide ribosomal RNA is filed under the name uncultured bacterium. Its description in RNAcentral is "bacterial SSU rRNA". It matches the Rfam family "Bacterial small subunit ribosomal RNA", at positions 28 to 417 of the family's 1533-position model. The record is from RNAcentral.
GACGAACGCUGGCGGCGUGCUUAACACAUGCAAGUCGAGCGGUAAGGCCCUUUCGGGGAUACACGAGCGGCGAACGGGUGAGUAACACGUGGGUGACCUGCCCUCAGCUCUGGGAUAAGCCUGGGAAACCGGGUCUAAUACCGGAUAUGACUCCAUGACGCAUGUUGUGGGGUGGAAAGCCUUGUGCGGCUGAGGAUGGGCCCGCGGCCUAUCAGCUUGUUGGUGGGGUGANGGCCUACCAAGGCGACGACGGGUAGCCGGCCUGAGAGGGCGACCGGCCACACUGGGACUGAGACACGGCCCAGACUCCUACGGGAGGCAGCAGUGGGGAAUCUUGCGCAAUGGGCGAAAGCCUGACGCAGCGACGCCGCGUGAGGGAUGACGGCCU